Molecule: long non-coding RNA, 389 nt
Organism: Cheilinus undulatus (humphead wrasse)
Lineage: Eukaryota; Metazoa; Chordata; Actinopteri; Labriformes; Labridae
Exons: 3
Source: RefSeq, a predicted model, not a curated record
CUGCAGUAAUCUACGGGUUCGCCCAUCUUGCCCUCACACACUAGGCACUGCCACCCUGCAGACCAUGCGGUGAUGCUGACCGAUGGAGGGCGAGGAGUGUGGUGUUUAAGUUAAUACGGCACAUCAUCAUAAGGCCAAAUCAACAAAGAUCAACUCACAUUUGUAUUGGCAACCUCUCAAAUUAGGUAGAACAUGUGAAUGGGCGUGUGGGAAUGUAAGGUGUGUGGAAAAUCAGUGUCAAGUAGGUAUGAAUUGCUUAAACAUUGCAAGCUAAAACACAGUCAUCAUGGAAACAGGUUCAGGCAUCUCUGCCCAUAUUCUAAUUGUCCAUGCACAUUUAGACUUUGGAACAGUCUUUUGAGUCAUAUAUACCGUACUCACAAAACUUA